RNAcentral lists this ribosomal RNA (116 nucleotides) under Esox lucius (northern pike). Its description in RNAcentral is "partial 12S ribosomal RNA". The record is from RNAcentral. Lineage: Eukaryota; Metazoa; Chordata; Actinopteri; Esociformes; Esocidae.
UCUAUAACCGAUAACCCCCGCUUAACCUCACCAGCCCUUGUUCACCCCGCCUAUAUACCACCGUCGCCAGCUUAUCCUGUGAAGGUCUCAUAAUAAGCAAAAUGGGUAAAACCCAG